RNAcentral lists this ribosomal RNA (254 nucleotides) under uncultured microorganism. RNAcentral describes it as "partial 16S ribosomal RNA". It matches the Rfam family "Archaeal small subunit ribosomal RNA", at positions 474 to 727 of the family's 1478-position model. The record is from RNAcentral.
CACCGGCGGCUCGAGUGGUGGCCACUUUUAUUGGGUCUAAAGCGUCCGUAGCCGGCUUGGCAAGUCCCCUGGGAAAUCUGGCGGCUUAACCGUCAGGCGUCCAGAGGAUACUGCCAGGCUUGGGACCGGGAGAGGUGAGAGGUACCUCAGGGGUAGGGGUGAAAUCUUGUGAUCCCUGAGGGACCACCUAUGGCGAAGGCACUUGUCUGGAACGGGUCCGACGGUGAGGGACGAAAGCCAGGGGCGCGAACCGG